Molecule: non-coding RNA, 75 nt
Organism: Leptolyngbya valderiana
Lineage: Bacteria; Bacillati; Cyanobacteriota; Cyanophyceae; Leptolyngbyales; Leptolyngbyaceae
Source: Rfam
GGGGGCGUAGCUCAGUUUUGGUAGAGCGCUUCCAUGGCAUGGAAGAGGUCGUCGGUUCGAGUCCGGUCGCCUCCA